AUGCACUGUUGGACAAGAAAAACAAGUCUCUCCCAAACUGUUUAUUUACCCAGUCAUUCUCUUUUUAUUAUAAGCUAUCUAGGCAAUGAAGAGAAUGGUGAUCCCAGGAGCAAAUUACAUCAUCUCGCAGGUGGAGAUCCUCCUAUGGCACGUGGUGGGAAAAUAGGUAUUUGAGGGUAAUGAAGGAGAAGGGAAAUGAGAAGCCGCUAUCUCUAUUUUUAGACUGUUUCAUUCCUGGCUGAACCUGGGAUGAUAGCCAAUAGCUACAAAAGGAGCAACUCAGAAAACAUGAAAGGCCUUGAAAAUCAAAUCCAGGAAAGAAGCUGUCUCCCCAUUUUACAGAUGAAGAAAUGAAGGUUCAGAGAAGGCAAUUACCUUGCUUGAGGCCACACAGUGGGUGGCAGGGCUGGAAUUUGAGCUCAGGUCUCUUUGCCUCCAAAAUACAUACUCUAAUGUACAGAGAAUAUAACAGAAAGCUUUCCAAAAAUAAGUGUGCAAUUUAGAAUUCAAAGCAGGUCUUAUGGAGAGGUGGUGACAAAAGUCAAACAGCAAGAGGGAUUAGCACUUGCAUUGCUGGAGCUCAUGUAACAGAUUGGGGCGUGGAGCUUGUGGGGUGGCACCAAACGGACGGUUUAAAGAAUCUUGUUAAAGGAAACUACUAUCUAUGUGUAGACCACUGAAAGUAGGCGGUGGGGAAACCUAUCUCACAUAAUAUGCCAUGGUGGUAUGAAACUAUUUGAAUAUUUUGAAAUUGGAGGCUUAAAUUAUUUGUAAAACUAAUUAAAGCAGAAUUAAGAUGAUAUGCCUAGCAGAAGGAGCAUAUUCCCAGCCGGAAACAUCCCCCUCUUGGUGGUCAUGACCUCCUGCAGUCAAACGAUUACUACAAAGAAGACAAAACCAGAAACAUUAUUUUCCAGGUCAUGAGAGUCCUAAGACAUGUUUUGUCCUCCCAAGAACCACCAAAAAAGCACAAAGCACAAAAGAAGACAAGGGUGUGAUAACUCAGGUCCACUUCAAAGAAGGAAACUUUGAUAAAAUUCUGGGUGGAUUACAUUUUUUUUUAAAUAAAGGGAGACUAGGAUAUUGUCA
Molecule: long non-coding RNA, 1089 nt
Filed under: Felis catus (domestic cat)
Lineage: Eukaryota; Metazoa; Chordata; Mammalia; Carnivora; Felidae
Description: lncRNA (ENSFCAG00000040982.2)
Source: RNAcentral